UUCCACGUGCAGGAAGAGGGACGCUUGCAAUCUGCAGAACGUGCGCAGUCUGCGGGGGCGUGUGCAGGUGGUGGGCCACCUGGGCGGACCUUUUGCGCUCGCCCCAACUCCUUCCCUCUAUAAAGACAGCGUUCCACGCGCUUCUUUUCAUCACGCCUUCUCCUAGCACGUAAGUUUUGGAGCUUCUUCUGUCUCAGCCGGUCUUCAACCGCCGCCUUCUCUCGACAUGGACCCCAACUGCUCCUGUGCCACAGAUGGAUCCUGCUCCUGCUCUGGGUCUUGCAAAUGCAAAGAGUGCAAAUGCACUACCUGCAAGAAAAGCUGCUGCUCCUGCUGCCCAGUGGGCUGCUCCAAGUGUGCCCAGGGCUGUGUCUGCAAAGGGGCGUUGGACAAGU
This is a long non-coding RNA of Phodopus roborovskii (desert hamster), 395 nucleotides long. RefSeq lists it as uncharacterized. The transcript is spliced from 3 exons. The record is from RefSeq and is a predicted model, not a curated record. Lineage: Eukaryota; Metazoa; Chordata; Mammalia; Rodentia; Cricetidae.